UUGAACGCUGGCGGCAUGCCUUACACAUGCAAGUCGAACGGUGGAGGGGCAACCCUUGAGAGUGGCGAACGGGUGAGUAAUAUAUCGGAACGUGCCCAGUCGUGGGGGAUAACGCAGCGAAAGCUGCGCUAAUACCGCAUACGAUCUAUGGAUGAAAGCGGGGGAUCGCAAGACCUCGCGCGAUUGGAGCGGCCGAUAUCAGAUUAGGUAGUUGGUGGGGUAAAAGCCCACCAAGCCGACGAUCUGUAGCUG
RNAcentral lists this ribosomal RNA (252 nucleotides) under uncultured bacterium. Its description in RNAcentral is "partial 16S ribosomal RNA". It matches the Rfam family "Bacterial small subunit ribosomal RNA", at positions 30 to 289 of the family's 1533-position model. The record is from RNAcentral.